GCGGCGCCGACGAUGACAACCUUUCUAUCGACGCAAGGGCAGCAGGAGCUCAUGACGCUGUUGAUGCCACCACCAUGCAUGGGGUUGAUGCAAGGUGGGACAAUGCGAUCACUAAUGGGGAGAACAUAAAACUUCAAUUGAGGGCACUGUGAUUCUCUAGCUACAUGUAUCAUGGUCACCAACCACACAUGUAAAAACCAUGUCUCCCUACUGUAAUUUGAUGAUUUAUUUACAUGUGGCACAGAAUAGUUCAGAGUUCACUCCGAGAAAGAAUUGCUUUGCAUGUACAUUUGCUAAAAGACGGAUGUGCUGAACUUUCGACGGUUCCGAUUGGUCGCUGACAUAACCUUUCCUCUUUUCAUUGAUAGGUCCAAAAGAGAUC
This is a non-coding RNA of Aegilops tauschii subsp. strangulata, 382 nucleotides long. The record is from RefSeq and is a predicted model, not a curated record. Lineage: Eukaryota; Viridiplantae; Streptophyta; Magnoliopsida; Poales; Poaceae.